RNAcentral lists this ribosomal RNA (612 nucleotides) under uncultured bacterium. Its description in RNAcentral is "bacterial SSU rRNA". The stretch from base 1 to 517 matches the Rfam family "Bacterial small subunit ribosomal RNA", at positions 338 to 873 of the family's 1533-position model. The record is from RNAcentral.
CCUACGGGAGGCAGCAGUGGGGAAUCUUGCGCAAUGGGCGAAAGCCUGACGCAGCCAUGCCGCGUGAAUGAUGAAGGUCUUAGGAUUGUAAAAUUCUUUCACCGGGGACGAUAAUGACGGUACCCGGAGAAGAAGCCCCGGCUAACUUCGUGCCAGCAGCCGCGGUAAUACGAAGGGGGCUAGCGUUGCUCGGAAUUACUGGGCGUAAAGGGAGCGUAGGCGGAUAGUUUAGUCAGAGGUGAAAGCCCAGGGCUCAACCUUGGAAUUGCCCUUGAUACUGGCUAUCUUGAGUACGGAAGAGGUAUGUGGAACUCCGAGUGUAGAGGUGAAAUUCGUAGAUAUUCGGAAGAACACCAGUGGCGAAGGCGACAUACUGGUCCGUUACUGACGCUGAGGCUCGAAAGCGUGGGGAGCAAACAGGAUUAGAUACCCUGGUAGUCCACGCUGUAAACGAUGAGUGCUAGUUGUCGGCAUGCAUGNAUGUCGGUGACGCAGCUACGACAUAAGACACUCCGCCGUCGGGGAGGUACGGUCGGCGAAGAAUUAAAACUUAAAAUUAAGUAAGUUAGUACGGACGUGAGACGUGCCGACGGACGACGACGAGGGAGGAGG